Molecule: ribosomal RNA, 253 nt
Filed under: uncultured prokaryote
Description: partial 16S ribosomal RNA
Rfam family: Bacterial small subunit ribosomal RNA
Source: RNAcentral
UACGUAGGGACCAAGCGUUGUUCGGAUUUACUGGGCGUAAAGGGCGCGUAGGCGGCGUGACAAGUCACUUGUGAAAUCUCUGGGCUUAACCCAGAACGGCCAAGUGAAACUGUUGUGCUAGAGUGCAGAAGGGGCAAUCGGAAUUCUCGGUGUAGCGGUGAAAUGCGUAGAUAUCGAGAGGAACACCUGCGGCGAAGGCGGGUUGCUGGGCCGACACUGACGCUGAUGCGCGAAAGCCAGGGGAGCGAACGGG